This 446-nucleotide ribosomal RNA is filed under the name uncultured bacterium. RNAcentral's name for it is "partial 16S ribosomal RNA". It matches the Rfam family "Bacterial small subunit ribosomal RNA", at positions 331 to 793 of the family's 1533-position model. The record is from RNAcentral.
CCAGACUCCUACGGGAGGCAGCAGUGGGGGAUAUUGCACAAUGGGGGGAACCCUGAUGCAGCGACGCCGCGUGGGUGAAGGAGCGUUUCGGCGCGUAAAGCCCUAUCGGCAGGGAAGAAGGAGGACGGUACCUGACUAAGAAGCCCCGGCUAACUACGUGCCAGCAGCCGCGGUAAUACGUAGGGGGCAAGCGUUAUCCGGAUUUACUGGGUGUAAAGGGAGCGUAGACGGCUGCGCAAGUCCGGAGUGAAAGCCCACGGCCCAACCGUGGGACUGCUCUGGAAACUGCCGGGCUGGAGUGUCGGAGGGGCAGGCGGAAUUCCUAGUGUAGCGGUGAAAUGCGUAGAUAUUAGGAGGAACACCGGUGGCGAAGGCGGCCUGCUGGACGACGACUGACGCUGAGGCUCGAAAGCGUGGGGAGCAAACAGGAUUAGAUACCCGCGUAC